RNAcentral lists this long non-coding RNA (226 nucleotides) under Solanum tuberosum (potato). RNAcentral's name for it is "long non-coding RNA (STUB_LNC005347)". Lineage: Eukaryota; Viridiplantae; Streptophyta; Magnoliopsida; Solanales; Solanaceae. The record is from RNAcentral.
AACCGAACCACCGAAACUUCAUUCUAACAGCGAACCAACAACCUAUACUACACAAUUCAUAAUCAACAGAUAUAUCCAACAGUAUCUCAACAUCAACCUCAUAUCCUCAUAUAAGAGCAAAUAGAUCAUAUAUCACAUGAAGAGGGGCAAAUAGGUAAAAUCCACACACCACAGACAAAGAUGAAGUGAAAUGCGAUGCAAAUGCAAUAAUGAUGUCAUGUAGUCG